GACGAACGCUGGCGGCGUGCUUAACACAUGCAAGUCGAACGGAAAGGCCCUGCUUUUGUGGGGUGCUCGAGUGGCGAACGGGUGAGUAACACGUGAGUAACCUGCCCUUGACUUUGGGAUAACUUCAGGAAACUGGGGCUAAUACCGGAUAGGAGCUCCUGCUGCAUGGUGGGGGUUGGAAAGUUUCGGUGGUUGGGGAUGGACUCGCGGCUUAUCAGCUUGUUGGUGGGGUAGUUGCUUACCAAGGCUUUGACGGGUAGCCGACCUGAGAGGGUUACCGGCCACAUUGGGACUGAGAUAAGGCACAGACUCGAAAGGGAGGCAGCAGUGGAGAAUAUUGCACAAUGGGCGGAAGCCUGAUGCAGCAACGCCGCGUGCGGGAUGACGGCCUUCGGGUUGUAAACCGAUGUCGCCUGUGACGAAGAGUGAGUGACGGUAAUGGGUAAAGAAGCACCGGCUAACUACGUG
Molecule: ribosomal RNA, 468 nt
Filed under: uncultured bacterium
Lineage: Bacteria
Description: partial 16S ribosomal RNA
Rfam family: Bacterial small subunit ribosomal RNA
Source: RNAcentral